CCUACGGGCGGCAGCAGUAGGGAAUCUUCCACAAUGGGCGAACGCCUGAUGGAGCAACGCCGCGUGGGUGAAGAAGGUCUUCGGAUCGUAAAACCCUGUUGUUAGAGAAGAAAGUGCGUGAGAGUAACUGUUCACGUUUCGACGGUAUCUAACCAGAAAGCCACGGCUAACUACGUGCCAGCAGCCGCGGUAAUACGUAGGUGGCAAGCGUUAUCCGGAUUUAUUGGGCGUAAGGGGAACGCAGGCGGUCUUUUAAGUCUGAUGUGAAAGCUUUCGGCUUAACCGGAGUAGUGCAUUGGAAACUGGGAGACUUGAGUGCAGAAGAGGAGAGUGGAACGCCAUGUGUAGCGGUGAAAUGCGUAGAUAUAUGGAAGAACACCAGUGGCGAAAGCGGCUCUCUGGUCUGUAACUGACGCUGAGGUUCGAAAGCGUGGGUAGCAAACAGGAUUAGAUACCCCUGUAGUC
This 465-nucleotide ribosomal RNA is filed under the name uncultured bacterium. RNAcentral's name for it is "partial 16S ribosomal RNA". It matches the Rfam family "Bacterial small subunit ribosomal RNA", at positions 338 to 795 of the family's 1533-position model. The record is from RNAcentral.